Molecule: ribosomal RNA, 400 nt
Filed under: phytoplankton environmental sample
Lineage: Eukaryota
Description: partial small subunit ribosomal RNA
Rfam family: Eukaryotic small subunit ribosomal RNA
Source: RNAcentral
AGCUCCAAUAGCGUAUAUUAAAGUUGUUGCAGUUAAAAAGCUCGUAGUUGGAUUUCUGGUUUGAAUGUCCGGUCCGCUUGUGUUCAUCACGAGUGCGUACUAUGGAUAUUUGGGCCAUUUUUUGUGAGGAAGUUUUUCUGCCAUUAAGUUGGUGGGGCUACUGACUUGCAUCGUUUACUGUGAAAAAAUUAGAGUGUUUAAAGCAGGCGUUUGCUUCUGAAUACAUUAGCAUGGAAUAAUAAGAUACGACCUUGGUGGUCUAUUUUGUUGGUUUGCACGCCAGGGUAAUGAUUAAUAGGGACAGUUGGGGGUAUUCAUAUUUCAGUGUCAGAGGUGAAAUUCUUGGAUCACUGAAAGAUGAGCUUAGGCGAAAGCAUUUACCAUGGAUGUUUUCAUUAAU